AUUGAACGCUGGCGGCAGGCCUAACACAUGCAAGUCGAACGAGUGGCGGACGGGUGAGUAAUGUCUGGGAAACUGCCUGAUGGAGGGGGAUAACUACUGGAAACGGUAGCUAAUACCGCAUACCAUCGGAUGUGCCCAGAUGGGAUUAGCUAGUUGGUGGGGUAAAGGCUCACCAAGGCGACGAUCCCUAGCUGGUCUGAGAGGAUGACCGGCCACACGGAAACUGGGACACGGUCGAGACACCUACGGAAGGCAGCAGUGGGGAAUAUGGCGCAAUGGGAGCAAGCCUGAUGCAGCCAUGCCGGGAGUAUGAAGGAGGCCUUCGGGUUGUAAAGUACUUUCAGCGAGGAGGCGUUACCCGGAGAAGAGUCACAGGCUAACUCCGUGCAAACAGCCGCGGUAAUAC
This 406-nucleotide ribosomal RNA is filed under the name uncultured bacterium. Its description in RNAcentral is "partial 16S ribosomal RNA". It matches the Rfam family "Bacterial small subunit ribosomal RNA", at positions 29 to 526 of the family's 1533-position model. The record is from RNAcentral.